Molecule: ribosomal RNA, 2927 nt
Filed under: Salmonella enterica subsp. enterica serovar Saintpaul str. SARA26
Lineage: Bacteria; Pseudomonadati; Pseudomonadota; Gammaproteobacteria; Enterobacterales; Enterobacteriaceae
Description: bacterial LSU rRNA
Rfam family: Bacterial large subunit ribosomal RNA
Source: RNAcentral
GGGUUGUGAGGUUAAGCGACUAAGCGUACACGGUGGAUGCCCUGGCAGUCAGAGGCGAUGAAGGGCGUGCUAAUCUGCGAUAAGCGUCGGUAAGGUGAUAUGAACCGUUAUAACCGGCGAUACCCGAAUGGGGAAACCCAGUGUGAUUCGUCACACUAUCAUUAACUGAAUCCAUAGGUUAAUGAGGCGAACCGGGGGAACUGAAACAUCUAAGUACCCCGAGGAAAAGAAAUCAACCGAGAUUCCCCCAGUAGCGGCGAGCGAACGGGGAGGAGCCCAGAGCCUGAAUCAGCAUGUGUGUUAGUGGAAGCGUCUGGAAAGGCGCGCGAUACAGGGUGACAGCCCCGUACACAAAAGCGCAUGUGCUGUGAGCUCGAUGAGUAGGGCGGGACACGUGGUAUCCUGUCUGAAUAUGGGGGGACCAUCCUCCAAGGCUAAAUACUCCUGACUGACCGAUAGUGAACCAGUACCGUGAGGGAAAGGCGAAAAGAACCCCGGCGAGGGGAGUGAAAAAGAACCUGAAACCGUGUACGUACAAGCAGUGGGAGCACCCUUUGGGGUGUGACUGCGUACCUUUUGUAUAAUGGGUCAGCGACUUAUAUUCUGUAGCAAGGUUAACCGAAUAGGGGAGCCGCAGGGAAACCGAGUCUUAAUUGGGCGUUAAGUUGCAGGGUAUAGACCCGAAACCCGGUGAUCUAGCCAUGGGCAGGUUGAAGGUUGGGUAACACUAACUGGAGGACCGAACCGACUAAUGUUGAAAAAUUAGCGGAUGACCUGUGGCUGGGGGUGAAAGGCCAAUCAAACCGGGAGAUAGCUGGUUCUCCCCGAAAGCUAUUUAGGUAGCGCCUCGUGAAUUCAUCUCCGGGGGUAGAGCACUGUUUCGGCUAGGGGGCCAUCCCGGCUUACCAACCCGAUGCAAACUGCGAAUACCGGAGAAUGUUAUCACGGGAGACACACGGCGGGUGCUAACGUCCGUCGUGAAGAGGGAAACAACCCAGACCGCCAGCUAAGGUCCCAAAGUCAUGGUUAAGUGGGAAACGAUGUGGGAAGGCCCAGACAGCCAGGAUGUUGGCUUAGAAGCAGCCAUCAUUUAAAGAAAGCGUAAUAGCUCACUGGUCGAGUCGGCCUGCGCGGAAGAUGUAACGGGGCUAAACCAUGCACCGAAGCUGCGGCAGCGACGCUUAUGCGUUGUUGGGUAGGGGAGCGUUCUGUAAGCCUGCGAAGGUGGCCUGUGAGGGUUGCUGGAGGUAUCAGAAGUGCGAAUGCUGACAUAAGUAACGAUAAAGCGGGUGAAAAGCCCGCUCGCCGGAAGACCAAGGGUUCCUGUCCAACGUUAAUCGGGGCAGGGUGAGUCGACCCCUAAGGCGAGGCCGAAAGGCGUAGUCGAUGGGAAACGGGUUAAUAUUCCCGUACUUGGUGUUACUGCGAAGGGGGGACGGAGAAGGCUAUGUUGGCCGGGCGACGGUUGUCCCGGUUUAAGCGUGUAGGUGUGUGUUCCAGGUAAAUCCGGUUCACUUUAACACUGAGGCGUGAUGACGAGGCACUACGGUGCUGAAGCAACAAAUGCCCUGCUUCCAGGAAAAGCCUCUAAGCAUCAGGUAACAUCAAAUCGUACCCCAAACCGACACAGGUGGUCAGGUAGAGAAUACCAAGGCGCUUGAGAGAACUCGGGUGAAGGAACUAGGCAAAAUGGUGCCGUAACUUCGGGAGAAGGCACGCUGACAUGUAGGUGAAGUGAUUUACUCAUGGAGCUGAAGUCAGUCGAAGAUACCAGCUGGCUGCAACUGUUUAUUAAAAACACAGCACUGUGCAAACACGAAAGUGGACGUAUACGGUGUGACGCCUGCCCGGUGCCGGAAGGUUAAUUGAUGGGGUCAGCGCAAGCGAAGCUCCUGAUCGAAGCCCCGGUAAACGGCGGCCGUAACUAUAACGGUCCUAAGGUAGCGAAAUUCCUUGUCGGGUAAGUUCCGACCUGCACGAAUGGCGUAAUGAUGGCCAGGCUGUCUCCACCCGAGACUCAGUGAAAUUGAACUCGCUGUGAAGAUGCAGUGUACCCGCGGCAAGACGGAAAGACCCCGUGAACCUUUACUAUAGCUUGACACUGAACAUUGAGCCUUGAUGUGUAGGAUAGGUGGGAGGCUUUGAAGUGUGGACGCCAGUCUGCAUGGAGCCGACCUUGAAAUACCACCCUUUAAUGUUUGAUGUUCUAACGUGGACCCGUGAUCCGGGUUGCGGACAGUGUCUGGUGGGUAGUUUGACUGGGGCGGUCUCCUCCUAAAGAGUAACGGAGGAGCACGAAGGUUGGCUAAUCCUGGUCGGACAUCAGGAGGUUAGUGCAAUGGCAUAAGCCAGCUUGACUGCGAGCGUGACGGCGCGAGCAGGUGCGAAAGCAGGUCAUAGUGAUCCGGUGGUUCUGAAUGGAAGGGCCAUCGCUCAACGGAUAAAAGGUACUCCGGGGAUAACAGGCUGAUACCGCCCAAGAGUUCAUAUCGACGGCGGUGUUUGGCACCUCGAUGUCGGCUCAUCACAUCCUGGGGCUGAAGUAGGUCCCAAGGGUAUGGCUGUUCGCCAUUUAAAGUGGUACGCGAGCUGGGUUUAGAACGUCGUGAGACAGUUCGGUCCCUAUCUGCCGUGGGCGCUGGAGAACUGAGGGGGGCUGCUCCUAGUACGAGAGGACCGGAGUGGACGCAUCACUGGUGUUCGGGUUGUCAUGCCAAUGGCACUGCCCGGUAGCUAAAUGCGGAAGAGAUAAGUGCUGAAAGCAUCUAAGCACGAAACUUGCCCCGAGAUGAGUUCUCCCUGAGACUUAGAGUCUCCUGAAGGAACGUUGAAGACGACGACGUUGAUAGGCCGGGUGUGUAAGCGCAGCGAUGCGUUGAGCUAACCGGUACUAAUGAACCGUGAGGCUUAACCUUACAACGCCGAAG